AGUGAACGCUGGCGGUAGGCCUAACACAUGCAAGUCGAACGGCAGCACAGUAAGAGCUUGCUCUUACGGGUGGCGAGUGGCGGACGGGUGAGGAAUACAUCGGAAUCUACUUUUUCGUGGGGGAUAACGUAGGGAAACUUACGCUAAUACCGCAUACGACCUACGGGUGAAAGCAGGGGAUCUUCGGACCUUGCGCGAUUGAAUGAGCCGAUGUCGGAUUAGCUAGUUGGCGGGGUAAAGGCCCACCAAGGCGACGAUCCGUAGCUGGUCUGAGAGGAUGAUCAGCCACACUGGAACUGAGAAACGGUCCAGACUCCUACGGGAGGCAGCAGUGGGGAAUAUUGGACAAUGGGCGCAAGCCUGAUCCAGACAUACCGCGUGGGUGAAGAAGGCCUUCGGGUUGUAAAGCCCUUUUGUUGGGAAAGAAAAGCAGCAGGUUAAUACCCCGCUGUUCUGACGGUACCAAAAGAAUAAGCACCGGCUAACUUCGUG
RNAcentral lists this ribosomal RNA (492 nucleotides) under uncultured bacterium. Its description in RNAcentral is "partial 16S ribosomal RNA". It matches the Rfam family "Bacterial small subunit ribosomal RNA", at positions 29 to 507 of the family's 1533-position model. The record is from RNAcentral.